RNAcentral lists this ribosomal RNA (498 nucleotides) under Triticum aestivum (bread wheat). RNAcentral describes it as "partial small subunit ribosomal RNA". Lineage: Eukaryota; Viridiplantae; Streptophyta; Magnoliopsida; Poales; Poaceae. The record is from RNAcentral.
CCCCCUCGCUUCGCCAAACUGGACUUCGCCACCUACGAGGGCACGGAGGACCCCCUCAACUGGCUCAACCAGUGCGAGCAGUUCUUUCGAGGGCAGCGAACGCUCGCUUCGGAUCGCACCUGGCUCGCGUCCUAUCAUCUUCGAGGCGCGGCGCAGACCUGGUACUACGCCCUCGAGCAGGACGAGGGCGGCAUGCCACCAUGGGAGUGCUUCCGGGAGCUCUGUCUCCUCCGGUUCGGGCCUCCUAUCCGCGGGAGCCGACUAGCGGCCCUCGGCCGCUUACCUUUCACAUCCACGGUGCAGGACUACGCUGACCGCUUCCAGGCCCUGGCGUGCCACGCGCCGGGCGUCUCCGCCACUCAGCGCGCCGAGUUAUUUGUGGGCGGUCUACCGGAUCAUAUCCGCGUGGACGUGGAGCUUCGGGGACCCCAGGAUCUCCAGUCGGCCAUGUAUUACGCCCGCGCGUUCGAGUGCCGCGCGGUGGCCAUCCAGCAGGAA